CCUUCGAUAGCUCAGUUGGUAGAGCGGUGGACUGUAGUCGGUUAAUUAACGAAUUUGUCAGAAAUCCAUAGGUCGCUGGUUCAAAUCCGGCUCGAAGGA
Nasonia vitripennis (jewel wasp) is the source of this 99-nucleotide non-coding RNA. The record is from Rfam. Lineage: Eukaryota; Metazoa; Arthropoda; Insecta; Hymenoptera; Pteromalidae.